CUUGUCUAACAUAAGAGGUCCAGCCUGCCCAGUGACAUUGUUCAACGGCCGCGGUAUCCUAACCGUGCGAAGGUAGCGUAAUCACUUGUUCUUUAAAUGAGGACUAGUAUGAAAGGCAUCACGAGAGUCAUACUGUCUCCUUUCUCUAAUCAGUGAAACUAAUCUCCCCGUGAAGAAGCGAGGAUAAAAAUAUAAGACGAGAAGACCCUAUGGAGCUUAAAACAAAUAACAUUUGCCUUUCUAACUUCAAAUUUCAGAAAAAUUUCUUAUCUUGGCAUUAUAAUUAUUAGUUUUUGGUUGGGGUGACCACGGAACAAAAAACAACUUCCACAAUGAAAGACACUCCUUUACUAAGUCAAGGACUACAACCCUACACAUCAACAAAUUGACAUUAAUUGACCCAACAUGUUGAUCAAUGGAC
Molecule: ribosomal RNA, 421 nt
Filed under: Adenomera diptyx group sp. ABGD cluster 12
Lineage: Eukaryota; Metazoa; Chordata; Amphibia; Anura; Leptodactylidae
Description: partial large subunit ribosomal RNA
Rfam family: Bacterial large subunit ribosomal RNA
Source: RNAcentral